AGAGUUUGAUCAUGGCUCAGAACGAACGCUGGCGGCAGGCUUAACACAUGCAAGUCGAACGCACCGCAAGGUGAGUGGCAGACGGGUGAGUAACGCGUGGGAACGUGCCCUUCAGUUCGGGAUAACCCAGGGAAACUUGGGCUAAUACCGGAUACGUGCGAGAGCAGAAAGAUUUAUCGCUGAAGGAUCGGCCCGCGUCUGAUUAGCUAGUUGGUGGGGUAAUGGCCCACCAAGGCGACGAUCAGUAGCUGGUCUGAGAGGAUGAUCAGCCACAUUGGGACUGAGACACGGCCCAAACUCCUACGGGAGGCAGCAGUGGGGAAUAUUGGACAAUGGGCGCAAGCCUGAUCCAGCCAUGCCGCGUGAGUGAUGAAGGCCUUAGGGUUGUAAAGCUCUUUCGCACGCGACGAUAAUGACGGUAGCGUGAGAAGAAGCCCCGGCUAACUUCGUGCCAGCAGCCGCGGUAAUACGAAGGGGGCUAGCGUUGUUCGGAAUCACUGGGCGUAAAGGGCGCGUAGGCGGCCUGAUAAGUCGGGGGUGAAAGCCUGUGGCUCAACCACAGAAUUGCCUUCGAUACUGUCGGGCUUGAGACCGGAAGAGGUAAGUGGAACUGCGAGUGUAGAGGUGAAAUUCGUAGAUAUUCGCAAGAACACCAGUGGCGAAGGCGGCUUACUGGUCCGGUUCUGACGCUGAGGCGCGAAAGCGUGGGGAGCAAACAGGAUUAGAUACCCUAGUAGUCC
Molecule: ribosomal RNA, 740 nt
Filed under: uncultured bacterium
Lineage: Bacteria
Description: bacterial SSU rRNA
Rfam family: Bacterial small subunit ribosomal RNA
Source: RNAcentral